AGAGCCGACUCGGCAAUCGCUCUAUCUAUAUUAAUAGGUAGGGAGGAAAGUCCGGGCUCCACAGGACAAGGUGCCAGGUAACGCCUGGGGGGCGAAAGCCUACGGAAAGUGCCGCAGAAAAUAUACCGCCUAAGCGCGCCAAUCUCGGUUGGGGCGCCGGUAAGGGUGAAAUGGUGCGGUAAGAGCGCACCGCGCCGUUGGCAACAGCGGUGGCAGGGUAAACCCCACCUGGAGCAAGACCAAAUAGGGGGGCAGGCGGCGCAAGCCGCAACGUGUGGUCCGCAUGGCUCCCGGGUAGGUUGCUCGAGGUGCACGGUGACGUGCAUCCCAGAUGAAUGAUUGCCCACGACAGAACCCGGCUUAUAGGUCGGCUCUCCCA
RNAcentral lists this RNase P RNA (379 nucleotides) under Gammaproteobacteria bacterium. Its description in RNAcentral is "RNase P RNA component class A". It matches the Rfam family "Bacterial RNase P class A". From Rfam's summary of the family: Ribonuclease P (RNase P) is a ubiquitous endoribonuclease, found in archaea, bacteria and eukarya as well as chloroplasts and mitochondria. Its best characterised activity is the generation of mature 5'-ends of tRNAs by cleaving the 5'-leader elements of precursor-tRNAs. Lineage: Bacteria; Pseudomonadati; Pseudomonadota; Gammaproteobacteria. The record is from RNAcentral.